GUAGGUGGCAAGCGUUGUCCGGAAUUAUUGGGCGUAAAGCGCGCGCAGGCGGUUCUUUGAGUCUGAUGUGAAAGCCCACGGCUCAACCGUGGAGGGUCAUUGGAAACUGGAGAACUUGAGUACAGAAGAGGAAAGCGGAAUUCCACGUGUAGCGGUGAAAUGCGUAGAGAUGUGGAGGAACACCAGUGGCGAAGGCGGCUUUCUGGUCUGUAACUGACGCUGAGGCGCGAAAGCGUGGGGGGAGCAAACAGGAUUAGAUACCCUGGUAGUCCACGCCGUAAACGAUGAGUGCUAAGUGUUAGGGGGUUUCCGCCCCUUAGUGCUGCAGCUAACGCAUUAAGCACUCCGCCUGGGAGUACGGCCGCAAGGCUG
RNAcentral lists this ribosomal RNA (372 nucleotides) under uncultured organism. RNAcentral's name for it is "partial 16S ribosomal RNA". It matches the Rfam family "Bacterial small subunit ribosomal RNA", at positions 527 to 896 of the family's 1533-position model. The record is from RNAcentral.